RNAcentral lists this ribosomal RNA (253 nucleotides) under uncultured bacterium. RNAcentral's name for it is "partial 16S ribosomal RNA". It matches the Rfam family "Bacterial small subunit ribosomal RNA", at positions 524 to 776 of the family's 1533-position model. The record is from RNAcentral.
UACAGAGGUCUCAAGCGUUGUUCGGAUUUACUGGGCGUAAAGGGCGCGUAGGCGGCGUAACAAGUCACUUGUGAAAUCUCCGGGCUUAACCCGGAGCGGCCAAGUGAUACUGUUGUGCUAGAGUGCGGAAGGGGCUACUGGAAUUCUCGGUGUAGCGGUGAAAUGCGUAGAUAUCGAGAGGAACACCUGCGGCGAAGGCGGGUAGCUGGGCCGACACUGACGCUGAGGCGCGAAAGCCAGGGGAGCGAACGGG